Molecule: long non-coding RNA, 714 nt
Organism: Mangifera indica (mango)
Lineage: Eukaryota; Viridiplantae; Streptophyta; Magnoliopsida; Sapindales; Anacardiaceae
Exons: 3
Source: RefSeq, a predicted model, not a curated record
AAAGCUGUAGGAGCCACAAAGUUUGUUGAUGUACCAUGGCAUCCAAACAUAUAAACAAAACAAAACAAAAGCAAUUGAUUGAUAUUAUAUGGACUUGCGGUCCUUUGAUCAAAUUGUUAAAUCAGUCUGUUUUGUUCUUUCAAUGCUUUUUGAUCGCUUGACAUUGACAUAGUACCGAAUUCACUUUGCAUCAUCGUAGAGACACUUAUGAUAUGACCCAAGAAGGGGCAUAACUUUUUGGGAAACAACAAAACAUGCACCAGGGCUUCAUAAAGCUCCCAACACCACGAAGAAGCUGAGACAUUUCCACGCACUUGCCACGAAGAAGAUGCUUGUUGUACGGUAGUGUUCUUAAAGGGCGUCUCCUUGAGAAGCAACCAAUUGGCAGAAGUGACAGUUUACUUAGUAUUUAUGAAUCAAUGGCUCUCACGUCCCUAGGAACACAAUCUCGUGAAUUUAAAAGACCAACUCCAACACCUUCAACAACAAUAAAAGCUACCUUCACAUGGGGAUAGAAGUGGCAAUGGACCACGCUGGUUCAGUCAAGCUCACUGGACCCAUGGAUCGGAUUGAACCUAAGACUUGCACAAUAAUGAGUCUUAUAGGUUAGGUCAACCCAUAUGAAGUAUAAGAUACAUAGCCCAAUCCGAUAUAUGUAAGAUUAGGUCUUUCCAAAAAUUUGUUUAAAUUAUGUUUUUAAAUCAUUAUCUAAUU